UGGGGAAUAUUGCACAAUGGGCGAAAGCCUGAUGCAGCGACGCCGCGUGAGGGAUGACGGCCUUCGGGUUGUAAACCUCUUUCAGCAGGGAAGAAGCGAAAGUGACGGUACCUGCAGAAGAAGCGCCGGCUAACUACGUGCCAGCAGCCGCGGUAAUACGUAGGGCGCAAGCGUUGUCCGGAAUUAUUGGGCGUAAGGAGCUCGUAGGCGGUUAGUCGCGUCUGCUGUGAAAACUCGAGGCUCAACCUCGGGCUUGCAGUGGGUACGGGCUGACUAGAGUGCGGUAGGGGUGACUGGAAUUCCUGGUGUAGCGGUGGAAUGCGCAGAUAUCAGGAGGAACACCGAUGGCGAAGGCAGGUCACUGGGCCGCAACUGACGCUGAGGAGCGAAAGCAUGGGGAGCGAACAGGAUUAGAUAGCCCUGGUAGUCCAUGCCGUAAACGUUGGGCACUAGGUGUGGGGUCCAUUCCACGGAUUCCGUGCCGCAGCAAACGCAUUAAGUGCCCCGCCUGGGGAGUACGGCCGCAAGGCUAAAACUUAAAUGAAUUGACGGGGUC
RNAcentral lists this ribosomal RNA (556 nucleotides) under uncultured bacterium. RNAcentral's name for it is "partial 16S ribosomal RNA". It matches the Rfam family "Bacterial small subunit ribosomal RNA", at positions 355 to 920 of the family's 1533-position model. The record is from RNAcentral.